UCUCUCUCUCUCACCCUCUCGAACACACAGGCAACCACCCAAAACCACCUAAAACUUAUACCAACGUCGGAUUUAAAGCUACCAUGGCAUUCCUGAGGACUCCACGAUCACGUAGACACCAAUUUCAGGUAAGUUUUACUUCGGAAAACCUAGAUUCUAAACUCCCCGUGAAAGUGCACUGUUCAUGAUCUUCGAAUUGACUUUGUUUUAGGACAAUCCAAGCUCAUAGCAAGCUUGGUGAGGUCCCAAGGAAGCUCGGAGUGCUUCGUUGGAAGUUUUUGGACGUAAGAACACGGAGAUCGACAAGUUCAAAGUUUAGCCGGAGCUUUCGAGGCGUUUUCCGGCGAAUCCCCGGCGAGUUAGGAGUCGAGGUAGGUAUCAAUCUCUUCGUCUCGUCAAGUACUACAACUUUCCUUUUUGUUUCACUCAAUUUCGUUGAGUAUUGAAGAAGUUAUACUCAUUUGAAAAAUACCCAGUUUCCGGCGACCUCCGAGGCUUUCGAGGCAGUUUCCGGCCAAACCACGGCGAACUAGGUGUUGUGCAAGGUAUCAUUCUCUUUGUCUCUUCAAGGGCUACAACUUUUGUUUUUGAAUCACUUGAUUUCGUUGAGAAAUGACAAAGUUAUGGCAAUUUGAAAAACUGCCCAGAAAACGGCCGCCGGAAAAAACCAGUCCGGCGACCCAAGGAAGAAGAAGGUGCUACAGUAAAAAUAAAAAAAAAUAAAAUAAAAUUAUUUUAAAAAUAUGUCGACGUCCGUGACGUCGAGUAGAUCACUGUGGUAUAUUCAUAUACCUAAAUUGAACACCGUAUGAGAAAGUUAUUGAAGAUUGUUGGUUAGGUGUUCAAAUAACGUUUUAUAGUUUUCACAUUUAGGUGAAAAUGUGAAUUGAUGAUCCGACCGUUGGAUCGUCACCAAACUUUGAUACGUUGUAAUACGUAAUAUUUGAGGAUUAUUGGAACUUACGGAUUGGGAAUCAGAGUUACUGAUCUUCCGGAAUUGGAAUUGUAAGUCCAUAAAUAUAAAAUGUUAACCGUCACUUAGUUUUGGAAAUUGACGGAGAUCCGACCGUUGGAUGGUAAUGAAAUUUUAGGAUGUUUGUCCUAGAGGUAUAUUGUGGACCUCUGGAAGUUAUGGAUUUAAAAUCUGAGUGGCAGAUCUUCCGGAUCGAUCAACGUAGUGACGUAUUUUAUAUAAGUUAUGUAUUCUAUCGAUAUGAAUUCUGAGGUUGGAAUUGAUUAUUGUUUUAGGCGCCGAUCGUCAUGACGCCUUGGCGUAUUGUGCUAGGGAGUUGUAGGGCGAACUCCAGGUGAGUGGGCAGUUUUGUUUUCCGUAUAUAUAUAUACUUGACGUUUCCCAGAAAUUGAAUUGAAAUGAAAAUAUGUUUAAAAUGAAAUGCAUAUGAGUUAUGUGGAAAAACGGGAAGUGAAAUACCAUGCAUAGAAUUGAUAUGAAAAGUAUAUAGAAAUGUGAGUUGAAAUGCCAUGCAUGAAUUAAUUUAUGAUGCAUAUGUAUGAAUUGGUGCGGUGGACGCACAUGUAAGAAUUGAUUUAUGAUGCAUAUGUAUGAAUUGGUGCGGUGGACGCACAUGUAAGAAUUGAUUUAUGAUGCAUAUGUAUGAAAUGGUGCGGUGGACGCACAGGUGAGUAUCAGGUGAUUAUUUAAAUACUGUUAUGAUGAUGUUGAUAUAUAUUGAGCUCAAAUCCUGCACCAUGGUUUAGUGCUUAUAGUAUUCACCGCAUCGCACGCUCGCCUUGGAUCCAAGUAGAUGCUAGUCGUACAGUCCACGCGGAGUGGGUACGACAGACCAGUCGCGAGAGAGUGUUAGUGAGAUUCCGACUGGUGGGUGACCUUAGAUUAUGUGCACAGAUGAUUUAUGAGAAGCACUAGAGCGUAACUUGUGUGCAGAAGGCCGGACGGGUCACAGAGGUGACUCCGGUAGAGUGAUAAUGAUAGAUUUUGAGCUCUAGGUUCAACCGUACAGGGCUAUUAGAGGGCCUACGGUUGAUUACUUUCUUGCACCUGAUAUGAUUAUGUUGAUGCAUUCAUACCUUAUUACUGUUGAGAUGAUGUGGCAUGGCAUAAUUAAUAUGAGAAAUGUUGAGAUGAUGUGGCAUGGCAUAACUGAUAUGAAAAAUGUUGAAAAAGUGAAAUGAAGUAUUGAGAAUAUAUAUGUAUAUUUAUAUUUUACAUUUCUGGGAAAGUAUACAGGUUUUACGGAGAGGGGUUACAACGUUAUGAGAAAUGUUUGGAUUUGGAAAAGAAUUGUUUUACUGACCCACUCAAUUUUGGUUUUGCGCCCCUCCAGGUUCAGGAAUCACAAAGGUGUGGUGACUACGAGGAAUACGGCGGGGUUCUGACAGAUUGGACAAAAUUAGGACUCACCUUCGGGUGUAUCAACUUAUAAAUUGUAUAAUUAAAGCUUCCGUACUGUGCAAAUGGUUACGUCACUCUCACGUGACGGCCAGCAUGCCCUCCUUCGGGACGGGGUGUGUCAGUUGGUAUCAGAGCAUGGUUGCAAUCUUGGACAUCUUGAGAAGUUUCUAGUGAAUUCUGUCAGAACUACACCGCCUCGUAGCAAACCACGUAGUUAGAGGAACUUAGUCUCCCUGAUUUAGCGGUUUGGGGGAAACUAUUAUUAUGGUGAUUCAGUAUAUUAUCAAAAUGGACAUUUUAAGACGGGUUAUGAGUUGAAUUUGAAUCACCUUAUGAAAUGAUGAACCUGAGGGAGCGGAGUGACGGUUUAACCAAUUGGAAAAGAUGUUUCAGAUUAUGCAAGUCAAAGGAAAUUUCCUUCUGACAGGUGGGUCGAGACGACUACCUGGUUUUGGGUAUGAAAUUGUAUCCUGGUGGAAACAGGAAUGUUAAUUGUUGUCACCAGAGGAAUCAGCCGAUUUAAAAUUUUUUAAGGAAAAGUUUAUCCCUCCGGCAUUUAUCGAUGGUAGUAAGCAAGAGUUUGCAAAUGUGAAUCAAGGAAGUUGACGAUAAAGUUAAUGAUUCGUCAUAUCAAGGAUAUAGAAAGAUUCAGAGCUUCGAAAGAAGUGAAGCUAGAGUUAAUUCUUCCAGCUGAGGUUUUAAUGUCGCUGGUCAGAGUAAAAGUGAUGGAUAUACUGGUAAUCCCAGAUAUUUGAGACAAGGUGUCUCGAGUAAAGGAAAUGUACUUUGUGCAGCAGGUACAAAAUUAACACUUUGGGAAAUGUGAAAUUAAUGAAUGUGUUUAUGUGAACAGAAGGGACACAGAGUUGUGAAUCGUCCCUAGAAUCAGUUGUACUCAACAAUUUUCCAUGAAAUCAUAGUGUCGAUUCAGCAGAGUUAUGGAUUUAGUAGUUUGGUCGGAUUGACCGUGGGUACAGAGAGAUUUGAUGAGUUAUAUGUUCAGUCGUACAGACCAUGAGAAGUGGAUUCGAUUGACACAUGAGAAAUUGGUGAGUUAUAGGCUCGGCCGUACCGACCACGCGGAGUGGAUCCGGCCGACGUAUUAUUGAGAUAAGAGUUGAAUCAGCCGUAUUGGUCAUUCUAGUUGACUUCGGCUGAUAUAUUUCUUAUUAUGUAUGUUAUUACCUAGAGAGUAGUAAAUAAAUGUAGUUGAGACGAGUGUAUGUAUUUUGCAUUGAGUGACAAAAUAGUAAUGUUAUAUCUUUGAGAGUGGUUGCCUACUUAUCGAGACAACGAUGAUUUAUCAGUAUUGCGGGCUGCAGACCGUAAUAUUAAUAACUCAUUCGUGGAUUCGUUAAGCAAGCAAACCGGUAGGUUAUUUUAUGUUAGUGUUGUACUUAUUUAGAAUGCUUAAUAAUAAUAGAAUAUAUAUUGUAUCAGUUAAUUCUGUUCCAUUAGAUUGGUUGGUUAUAAUUGUGACAAGACGGAAUGUUACGGGAAACCAGUACUUUCCAUCGAUCUGGAUGACCAGAGAUUACUUUUGUAAGUAUGCAAAGUGGAUUGAGUCAGGCCGUUAUUUAUGCUGUGAGAGCAAAGAGAUUGUUUUCGAAAGGCUGUCAAAAAUACUUAGCUCAUGUGGUGCUAAAUGAUGUUGUUUGGAGUAGUGUGAAUAAUGUCGAAAGGGUUAGACUUUUCUUGAUGUCUUCCCUGAAAGUAUACCUGGAUUGCCUUCAGGCAGAGAUAUGAGGUUCACUAUUGAUUUGUUGCCAGGUAUAAAUUUAUAUUGGAGAUUGGUUCAUGAUGAGUUAAGGGAAUUGGAAAUUCAGUUGAGGGAAUUGGUUGAUAAAAGUUUUAUUCAACCUAGUACAACACUUUUGAGGAGCCCCAGUUUGUUGGUGAGGAAGAAAAUGGAUCUUGAGACUGUUCAUUGAUUAUAGACAAUGGAGUCGGGUAACGAUUGAGAACCGUUAUCCAUGGUGAUGUACUGAUGUUUAUUUAACCAGCUCAGAAGUAAUUGCGAAGAUUCAAAGAUUGAAUUGAGAUCUGGUUACUACCAAUUGAAUAUUAUAAGUGACGUUGAUCAUAAGAUGGUUUUCUGGACUUGUUAUAGUUUUUAUGAAGUUUGGUGAUGCUAUGUGGAUACUCAUGCUGUUUUAUGAGUUGAUGGAUGAAGUAUUCCAAUAAUGCCUUGAUAAAUUGAUAUCAUUUUCAUUGAAGAUAUUCUGGCAUAUUCUAAGCCUAGAGCAUGUAAACGUAUUAAGUCGGUGAAGCAAAGAUUAAGAGAACGUUGGUUGUAUGCUAAGUUUAGCAAAUGCGAAUGUUGGAUGAAUCAAGUGGCAUUCUGAGAUUGGUUAUAUCUGCUUAAGGUAUUCAAAUGAAUUCUUAAAAGGCAGCAGAAUUGAGAAAUUGGAACAACCACAAGCCAUAAUUGAGAUUCGGAAAUUCUUAACUUAUCAGGCUAUUUUGGAUGGUUGUGAAAGAAUUUUUAGUCAUUGUUUUGUCAUUGAUGAGACUGUUGAGAAAGGAGGUUAUGUAUGAGUGGGAAGGAAUUGUAAGCAAAGGAUUCAACAACUGAAGUAUUUCCUCACUCAUGCACGUAUUUUGGUAUUCCCAGAGAAUAGUGGUAAUCAUAAAUUUUUAGUGAUGUUUCUUGAAUGGUAUUGGAUGCAUGUUGAUGCAAAUGUUAGGGUGAUUGCAUACGUUUCACGAUAAAUGGAAUCUCAUAAGAUGAAUUACCCUACGGGUGACUUGGAAGUCAUGAUUACCAUUCUUGCUGUGAAGUUAUGAAGGCAUUAUAUUUGGUAAGAAUGCAAGAUUUUUACGAAUCCAAAAAGUCUUCAAUAUCCAUUACUUGGAAGGAUUUUGAUAUGAGGCAGCGAAAGUGAAUUGUAUUGCUUAAUGAACAUGAUUGUACGAUCAGGGUGAUCGUAAAGUUUGUUCUAGCUGAAGCACUUGAUAAGAAGACUGCAGUAAGAAUUAAUAUCUGGUACGCUUGCCAAGAUUAUCUUCUUGUGGAUUGGAAAUCAACUAAAGUAAAGUUAAGAAUGAAAGAUCGAGAAGAAGUUAUACUUGUUAAGUUUCAAGUUAGGCCUUUUGGUAAGGUCGUACUCGAGACUCAAAUGGUAUGUGGAUACAAGAAAACAAAAAGUAUGUGCCUAAUGCUGAGGAUUUGAAGCAAGCAAAUAUUGGACGAAGUUCACUGUUCAACUUCUGCAAUAUUCCAAAAGUAAUAAGAUUUAUCAUACCAUUCGACAGUUUUAUUUGGUCAGCAGAUUGAGGCAGAAAGAGAUAAACCUUUGGAUUGAGAUAAUUAUUUUCUGUUUCGCAGUGGAAAUGGAAAGAUAUUACUUUGGAUUAUGUGUACAAGCUUCCUUGUACACAAGAUGGUUAUGAUCGAAUUUGAAGUGAUAGUUGGUCAAUGUACCAAGUUAGUACAAUUACUCCAGUGUUGAGUAAUAAAUUUUUUUUCAGACAGGGCAACGGUACUUAAUGUAUUUGUGUUCGAUGCGUUGUCACUAGGUGGCAGAGUCGUCUCAUGGAAUUCUGGUGCAACUAUUGAGAAUUAAAUUGGAUUCGACUUGAUAAGGAACCAAGGACGACUUUGGAUUGGAAAAAGAAGGUCCUGAGAAUUAAGACAGAGUAAGUAGUAAAAGCUUUGUGAAGGAAAUCAUUCAGUAGAAAAUUAUGUGGGAAAAAGAGAAUCGGAUGAGAGAGAUUUAUCCGAGGCUAUUGUAUGAGUAUAGAUGAUUUAGUUGGUUGCUGGAAUUUCGGGGACGAAAUUCUAUAAGGAGGGGAGAUUGUCACAGCCCGUCCCGGAAUUUUUAAUUCCGAGGACAUGAAAUUACGAAAAUGUCCCUAAUACGUGACUAAGGUAUAAUUUUCACGUUCGUUAUAUCUAAGCUCCAAAAAAAAUUUGGUAAUUAGAGUGGAGACUUAGACUUAAAUUUUAUGAUGGAAUUUUAUGAAAUUGGGAUUGGAUUGGACAUGUGGGAUCCCCACACCUCAAAACCCUCCCCAUUUCCCGUAUACUGUCCUUCAUACUCUCUCUCUUCCUCAGACCUCACUCUCUCUCUCUCACCCUCUCGAACACACAGGCAACCACCCAAAACCACCUAAAACUUAUACCAACGUCGGAUUUAAAGCUACCAUGGCAUUCCUGAGGACUCCACGAUCACGUAGACACCAAUUUCAGGUAAGUUUUACUUCGGAAAACCUAGAUUCUAAACUCCCCGUGAAAGUGCACUGUUCAUGAUCUUCGAAUUGACUUUGUUUUUAGGACAAUCCAAGCUCAUAGCAAGCUUGGUGAGGUCCCAAGGAAGCUCGGAGUGCUUCGUUGGAAGUUUUUGGACGUAAGAACACGGAGAUCGACAAGUUCAAAGUUUAGCCGGAGCUUUCGAGGCGUUUUCCGGCGAAUCCCCGGCGAGUUAGGAGUCGAGGUAGGUAUCAAUCUCUUCGUCUCGUCAAGUACUACAACUUUCCUUUUGUUUUCACUCAAUUUCGUUGAGUAUUGAAGAAGUUAUACUCAUUUGAAAAAUACCCAG
RNAcentral lists this long non-coding RNA (6915 nucleotides) under Malus domestica (apple). Its description in RNAcentral is "long non-coding RNA (MDOM_LNC014714)". Lineage: Eukaryota; Viridiplantae; Streptophyta; Magnoliopsida; Rosales; Rosaceae. The record is from RNAcentral.